CAGUCGCCACGGGAAUACGGAGGGUGCAAGCGUUAAUCGGAAUUACUGGGCGUAAAGCGUGCGUAGGCGGUUCGUUAAGUCUGUUGUGAAAGCCCCGGGCUCAACCUGGGAAUGGCAAUGGAUACUGGCGAGCUAGAGUGUGUCAGAGGAUGGUGGAAUUCCCGGUGUAGCGGUGAAAUGCGUAGAGAUCGGGAGGAACAUCAGUGGCGAAGGCGGCCAUCUGGGACAACACUGACGCUGAGGCACGAAAGCGUGGGGAGCAAACAGGAUUAGAUACCCGUGUAGUCCCUGUCUCUUAUAA
This 301-nucleotide ribosomal RNA is filed under the name uncultured bacterium. RNAcentral's name for it is "partial 16S ribosomal RNA". It matches the Rfam family "Bacterial small subunit ribosomal RNA", at positions 509 to 809 of the family's 1533-position model. The record is from RNAcentral.